GAUGAACGCUGGCGGCGUGCCUAAUACAUGCAAGUCGAGCGAACAGACGAGGAGCUUGCUCCUCUGACGUUAGCGGCGGACGGGUGAGUAACACGUGGAUAACCUACCUAUAAGACUGGGAUAACUUCGGGAAACCGGAGCUAAUACCGGAUAAUAUAUUGAACCGCAUGGUUCAAUAGUGAAAGACGGUUUUGCUGUCACUUAUAGAUGGAUCCGCGCCGCAUUAGCUAGUUGGUAAGGUAACGGCUUACCAAGGCAACGAUGCGUAGCCGACCUGGGAGGGUGAUCGGCCACACUGGAACUGAGCCACGGUCCAGACUCCUACGGGAGGCAGCAGUAGGGAAUCUUCCGCAAUGGGCGAAAGCCUGACGGAGCAACGCCGCGUGAGUGAUGAAGGUCUUCGGAUCGUAAAACUCUGUUAUUAGGGAAGAACAAAUGUGUAAGUAACUAUGCACGUCUUGACGGUACCUAAUCAGAAAGCCACGGCUAACUACGUG
This 497-nucleotide ribosomal RNA is filed under the name uncultured bacterium. RNAcentral's name for it is "partial 16S ribosomal RNA". It matches the Rfam family "Bacterial small subunit ribosomal RNA", at positions 28 to 507 of the family's 1533-position model. The record is from RNAcentral.